Pan troglodytes (chimpanzee) is the source of this 868-nucleotide long non-coding RNA. RefSeq lists it as uncharacterized. The transcript is spliced from 3 exons. The record is from RefSeq and is a predicted model, not a curated record. NCBI's taxonomy places the organism in Eukaryota, Metazoa, Chordata, Mammalia, Primates, Hominidae.
CUUUGGGGAGUGGAGGGGAAGAUCAACCUGUCACAAGAGCUCUGCCUCUGAACGCCCCUUGGCAGGGCAUCCCCAGGACGGGUCCCUCUGCCUGGGCCCCAGCCCCUCGGCAUCCCAGAAGGCAUAUAUGGCCACACUGGGAGCUCCCUCUAGUGGCAGACAGGCCCCGAGGGUCUGCUCAAGGUUGACCUUGUGCCCGCGGUGGGCAGGCAGGUGUCAGGGAUGAUGAAGUGGCCUCAGAGAGUGGGUGGGAUUCACUCUUUGAUGGUAAGAAUGCAUGCAAGUGCUCCGGAAACUGGAACAGGCCGCCGGAGUGGGAGUGGAGUGCUUCCACAGGGAGUGGGAGCAGGGGACCUGGUACAGGUUUUCACACGCACUGCAGAGUUUCCAGAGAUAAAGCCCCACAACCAGAGAUGGCAAAGCACCUCCUUUCUCUGCCUCCAGGGAGGAGAAUUCAGCCGAGCAGGAAACUACGGAGCCUCUGAUUGGCUUCUGAGAGCUGGAGCAGUUUCUCUCAAUAAACAGGAGCAGCCAGCAGCAGGACUGGAGUCCACAGGUGAUCUGUCUCUGACCUCAGGUGUACACAACCAUCCUCUCAGAAGACAGGCAAGCAAGGCAGCUCUCCUGCCCCUCAGCACUGGCCACGCUGGGACACAGUGGGACAUCAGGACUUUAAGCCAUCCUUUAGGCCAAAGAAUCCCCACAUAACAAAUUCAUUGUGUGCAAUAAAGAACUUGGCUGCACCCCUAUCGGGGCGUUUGAGAUCCAAAUUGCUGCCUUGGCACUUCGGAGACACAGAAAGGAGAAAUGAGCUCAGGGUCUCUGGGAAAAGCCCUUUAAACCUGCUUGAGAAAUCAGAUUUGUCUGG